Molecule: long non-coding RNA, 8302 nt
Organism: Cavia porcellus (domestic guinea pig)
Lineage: Eukaryota; Metazoa; Chordata; Mammalia; Rodentia; Caviidae
Exons: 2
Source: RefSeq, a predicted model, not a curated record
GUCGGACAUGCGCGCUGGCUCUCGGGUCUGGGCUUGAGGGACCCGGAAGCAGUUGUGCGUAUCUGCUUUUACUUUAGCCCGUCUAAAAUAACAAUCGGCUUCUAGUUCCUCAUUUUGAUAUAAGGGGAAGUAAAUGUGGCUCCCAACCUGCUGGAUGUCAGAUGCACUGAGUUUAUGUUCCCCAAAUUGGCGAAAGAAUUCUAAGGAAUAACAGAAUUUAAAGAGUACGAACUUUACUAAGAGCGAGAUAGCUCCUGAGACUCAAGAGGGAACCCAAAAGUGUAUGGCCAAUGAAUCCACUUCUCAAAGGAAGUUCUUUAGAGCAAAAUCAUAAGAAUAGCCAGUGGGGUCGCAGGAGCGUCCCCCACUCACAGCCCGCGAGUGCUCUGUCUGCCUGCCUGCUGCGCGCGCUCCCCGGCCAGCGGCUGCUCCCCUCACCUCCGCAGCCCCCACCUUCGGAGGAGAGAGGGUUCCUAACUUCUACGUAAGUAUGGAUGGACAAGGGUAAGUCAUUUAAAAAGAGCUUCUAUAAACUUUAACAGGGUCAGGGAUUUAGCUCAGCAGCAUAAGUGCCUGCCUAGCAAGCACGAGGUCAUGAGUUCAAUCCCCAGUUCCAAAAAAGAAAAAAACAAAACAAAACAAAACAAAACAACCAAAAAGAUUAACUGGAGUCAAUGAAAAUGCAGGAAUCAGUGAAAAAAUGACCUAAAAUAUCUAUUCAGAUAUUUAAUAACAAGAAACUUCCCAAGCAUGGAAAAAUAAUUUCACAUUACAUAAAUGAGGCAUAUAGAACUCCAACUAGCCAUGAUCAAAAUAAAUCUAUACCAAAGUAUAUAAUAAUCAAAACUCCAGAUAUUCAGCACAAGAAGAGGGUAUUAAAAGCUGUUACAAAGGGCUGGGGGUUUAGCUCAGCGGCAUAAGUGCCUGCCUUGAAAGCAAGCAGUCGUGAGUUCGAUCCCCGGUACCGAUAAAAAGGAAAAAGAAAAAAAAAAAAAAAAAGCUGUUACAAAACAGAGACAAAACACCCGUGAAGGAAAGCCCUUUGGGAUCACAGCUUACUUCUCCACACAAACCCAAUAAGUCAAGGACAGUUUGGAGUAAAGUAUAUCAAUACCUGAAAGAAAACAGCUUCCAGCUCAAAUUGUUGUACCCUAUAAAAUUAUCUUUCAGAAUUAAUGGACAAAUAAAAUACUUCUGUGCUAAAGAACAACUAACGAAACUCAUGACAACCACACCAGCUCUACAAAGAGUGAUAAAAAGUAUUCUAAAAGAAAAUGGAAAGCCUACAAUUCCAAGAGAACCAAUAUAAAUAAGCCACAUGCCAGGGGAGGAAAUUAAACAGAGGGAAAUGAUAAUGAGCCAUGAUGGGAAAAUUAUAUAUGAGAAACAACAUAGUCAUAUCAGCUAUACCCAUCAAUGUAAACGGUCUCAAUUCACCAAUCAAAAGAAAUAAACUGAGGGCUGGGGAUAUAGCUCAGCUGCCUAGCAAGUGACAGGUCCUGAGUUUGAAUCCCAGUACCAGGGAGAAAAAACUACAUGCAAAAACAAAACAAAACAAAACAACAACAACAAAAAAACACAAACGGCAGAAUGAAUCAAAAGGUAAGACCCAACUAUUUUCUGCAUUUAAGAAACACAUUUAACUCAAAAAGAAAUUCAUAAUCUGAAACUGAAAGGAUGGAACACAAUACUCCUUGCACCAAGAACCCAGAAAAAGAAGGAAUAGCUAUUUGAUUCACACACAAUUGUAAUUUUAAGCUAAUACAGAUCAAAAGAGACAAAGAAGGUGACUACAUACUUGUUAAGGGAAAACUCCAGGAAGAAAAAAUAACAAUCAUAAAUAUGUAUGCAAAAAAUACUGGUACACCCACCUACAUGAAACAAAUAUUAAUUGAAAUGAAAAUUUGAAUAAUCACUAAAGCAAUUGCAAUGGGGAACCUUAAUAUAUCCCUUCAUCACAAAUACAUAGAUCAACUAGACAAAAUCAUGAACAAAAAACAUCAGAACUAAAUCAAACUUGCAAACAAAUAGACUUAUUAGAUGUCUACAGUGUUCCACCCCACAGCAUUAGAAUACACAUUCUUCACAGCUCUACAUGAAAUGUUCUAGACCAAACACUAGCCCACAGAACAUGCUUAAGUAAAUGCAAAGGAAAGGAAAUUACCCCAUGCAUAUUAUCAGAUCAUAGAGCAAUGAAAAUGGAAAUCAAUAGCAACAUAAACCACAAUAACUACAUAAACACUUAGAACAAAUGCAUCAUAGAUAAAAUUAAAGAAUAAAUUAAACAAUAUCCACAGUUAAAUGAUAAUAGUGAUGCAACAUACCAGAACUUAUGGGACACAAUGGUAGCAAUCCUGGGAGAGAAACUUACAGCAGUGACUUCUCAUAUUAGGAAAACAGAAAAAAUUCAAAUAAACAAGUCAAUGCUGAAGCUUAAAUUUCUAGAAAAAAAGAAAAAAUCAAACACAAAGCUCAUAUAAGAGAGCAAACUAUAAAGAUCAGAACACAAAUUAAUGCAAUAGAAACUAAGAAAACAGUAAAAAAACAAUGAAUUGAAGAGUUGAUUCUUCAGAAGAUUCAAUGAAAUUUAUAAACUUGUAGCCUACCUUACCAAAAAGAAUAAAGAAGAGAAUCAAAUUCAUGCAAUUAAAAAUGAAGAGGAGGAAAUCACAAUGGAUACUGUAGAAAUGCAGAUCAUCAACACCUACUUAGAGACCUGUACUCUAAAAAGAUGAAUAACGCAGAAGAAAUUAACAGAUUCCUAGAUCCAUAUGAGUGACAAAAGGGGAAUCAGGAAAAUAUAAAAAUUCUAAAUAAGACAAUAUCUUUCAAUGAAAUUGAAAAUGUAAUUUUAAAAUAUACCAACAAAGAAAGGUCCAUAGCCUGAUGGGUAUACAGCUGAAUUGAACAAGAAAUUUAGAGAAGAUCUAAUGUCAUUACACAUCAAACUCUUUAAGAAAAAUGAAAGGGAAUCAAACUCACAAACUCGUUCCUGAAAGCAAGUAUUACCCUGAUAACAAAAUCAGAGAAGGAUUCAACCCCAAAAGAGAAGUAUAGACCAAUGUCCCUAAUGAACAUAGAUGCAAAAAUUCUCGGAUACUGACAGAAAGAAUAUGCAAAAUUCAUCAAGAGAAUUAUACCUCUAGACCAAGUAGUAUUCCUCCCAGGGAUUCAGGGAUCAUUCAAAAUAUGUGAAUCAAUAAACAUAAUAUAUCAUAUUCAUGAAACUAAAGACAAAACCCAUAUCAUCACCUCAGUAGUUACAUGAAAAGCAUUUGACAAAGUCCAUACCAAUUCAUGAUUUUUUUAAAAAUCCUACACAAUAUUGAAAUAGAUGAUCCUUAUUUCAAUCUGAAUAAAGUCAUACAUGACAAACCAAUAGCCAACAUCACAGUAAAUGUUCAAAAACUGAAAACUUUCACUAAAAAAUCAAGAACAAGACAAAGACAACCACUAUCACUACUCCUUUGCAAUAUGGUUCUAGAAACAUUAGCUAGAUCAAUUAGGUAAGAGAAAGAAAGAAAGAAAAGGAAUGAUGAUAGGAAAGAAAGGAGUUGAAUUAACAGGGGCUAGGGAUUUAGCUCAGCAGCAUAAGCACCUGCCUUGCAAGCAGGCAGUCGUGAGUUCAAUCCCCAGUACCAAUUUAAAAAAAAGAAGUUAAAUUAUCAUUAUAUGCAGAUGGCAUGAUGCUCUACUGAAAAGCUGUUGUGAUAAAAACAGCAUGAUACUGACCGAAAAACAGAUCGGAGAAUCAAUGGAACAUAUUAGAAUAGGCAGAAACAUCUUUAAAUACAUUUUGCCAUCUUACCCUUGACACAGAAGCUAAAUACAUUUACUGGAAGAAAGCUUCUUUAAUAAAUGGUGCUGAAAAACAGACUUUCCACAUGCCAAAAACUAAAACUAGACCCCUACAUAUCAUCAUACACUGAACUAAAAUAAAAGUAAGUCAAAUAUCUAAGUAUUAAAACAGAUACAAGGGCUGGGGAUUUAGCUUAGCGGCAUAAGCGCCUGCCUUGUAAGCAGGCAGUCAUGAGUUCAAUCCCCAGUACCCAUAAAUAGGAAAAAGACAAAACAAAACAAAACAAAAAAAAAACCAGAUACACUAAGUGUGCCCAAAGAGAGAAUAGGUAAAACUCUUCAAGACAUAAGUGUAGGCAAGGACUUCUAAAUAAAACUCCAGUGUCACAAGAAAUACCACAAAGAAUCAACAACUGGGAUCUCAUCUUAUUAAAAAGGUUUUACACAGCAAAGGAAAUCAAUCACCAACAGAGUGUAAACACAACCCACAGAAUUGGAAAAAUCUUAGCCAGUUCUUCAAACAAAGAACUAAUAUCUAGAACAUAUAAAGAACUGAAAAAAAUCAGAUCUGCAAAUUAAAGACCCAAUCCAAAAAUAGACAUCUGAAGUGAGUACAUAAUUCUCAGAAAUACAAACAGCAAAUAAAUACUUAAAACCAUGUUCAACAUCACUGAAAUUUGAGAAAUGCAAAUUAAAAUAAUGCUUAAAUCCCAUCUCAGUCCAGAAAGAAUGCCUAUAAUCAGCACAUCAAUCAGUUAUAAAUGAUAGGUCUGUGGGGCAAAAGUAACACUUCUCUGUUGUUGAUGGGAUUGUAAACUGGUGCAACCAUUGUCAAAAUCAGAUGGAGAUUCCUCAAAAAACUAGGACUAGAUGUCCCCUUCAACUUAGCCUUUCUUCUUCUUGGUAUCUUUCCUAAAGAAUUAAAAGCAUUAAAAGAAUUAAAAACAUAUGCACAACCAUAGCAAUACAGUCUGUAGUAGCUAAAUGUGUCCUUGUAUUUCCAUUGGUUCUAUCAUGUUGUAUCUUGUUGGAGUUUAAUAUGGAUAGUAUAAGCAAGUUUUAUAUGGCAAAUGAGAUAAUAUACUAGCCAUUAUUCAUUUUCUGUUAUUUGGUUCUGAAUGCCCUGUAAUUCUUUCAUUCUCUUGAAUGGUUUUAUACUAUUUUGUUACGUUUGACAUUAUUGUGUGUGAAGGUAUGCUCAACUAUUUAAAAAAAAAGAGACAUUAUGGUUAAUAUACGGUUGUCUUGUUGUGAAGUGCUGUGGUGCUUACAUUGUUCUGUUCUGAUCUGCUUCAUUCUGUCCUCUUUUGUCUUAAUCUCUAAAGUAAAAUUUUAAAAAUGUUGGAAGCAACCCAAAUGCCUAUCAACUGAGGAAUGGAUAAAAACAGGUGUGGUAUUUUUUAUCUAACAGAGUACUACUCAGCUAUAUGGAAGCAUAAAUUUGAGGCACUUAUAGCUAAAUGGAUGAACCUUGAGACCAUACUCUUAAGUGAAAUAAAUAAGACAUAUGUGUAAAUAUCAUACUGUCUCUCUGGUGUGAGAAACUGAAAGUACAAAUAAGAAUCAAAAUGUAUAAUAGACACUUCACAGUAAUAGAAAGUAAUUUUUCAAAAGGAAUGGAGAACUGAGGAGAUGGAAUGAAAAAGAAAAAAUGAGAAAAAAAGCUAAAAUGGAAACAAGGAUUUGUAAAUAAGGAAGGGGAAAAGGGUUGAAGAGAGGGCAUGGGAAUGUGAAUAGAAGAGGAGCCAAGAUAUAUCAUGUACAGUUACAAAUAUUCUAUAAUGAAUAUGAAAUUAUGUAUAUCUAAAUUGUACUAAUAAAGUUAAUGAAGAAAAGAAACAAUAUUGUAUUUCAAUAGGCACAAUGGAAGUUUACAUCAUAAGGUAUGAGGUUGUUUUAUACCUGGGUAGAAAGCUAUAUGUACACUGAUCUGUGUUGGUUUUUUUUUUUUUUCACUGUUAUGACAGGUGUAGGCCUUUUAUCUCCAUGUGAAAGUCCUCUCUUCUCUAUUUCAUCAUUUUAAAAAGUUUUUUCAUAAAACAUCAGAGUGAAAUAUAAUUACAAUAUCAACUUUUUGGCUCUAAGUUUAUCUUGACAUUCUUAUAAUUUUAUAUUUCAAGUGGCAAUUGUUGAUGUAUAUAUAAGAUUGAUUUAAAAUAUAAAAUAUUUUUCAUAAAAUAUAUAUGAAAGAAAUUUUAGUAUGGCCCCUUAGAAGACAACCAAAUCUUCUCUUUUGAAAGCAGCAUAAGAAAUUUUAUUUGGGACUCUCACAAAGAUGGCAGGUCAGUGAGCAGCAGCAUACAGAGGCUCCCUGAGAGAGACAACUCAGAUGCCAGGAUGAAACAUCUUGGAGAGGUCCAGACAGAGAGAGAUGGAUCCUCUUGACCCAGGAAUAAACCAAAGGUAAAAGAGCUGGUCAAACACACAGUGCCAGGGCUACCAUUGGAGCAACUAAGAUUAGCCGCCACAGCGCUCUCGCUGGAGUCACCCAAACUCACACCACCAUGACUUACCGGACCUGUCCGAACUUGCAUCAUUGUGACCCACCGGAUCCGUGAUCACACUGAAGUUGAAUGUUGGCAAACCCAGCAGAGAACAGAGCCAGCGUGGAGACCUGCAUUAACUCACAGUGAGUGCAGGGAAUAAGACCCUCUCACAGGAAAGGGGUGAACAACUGGACAACAUGUUGGAAUGGGGCAGGAUGGGCAGGAACAAGGAAUGGCAGUGACUUCAGUCAGUUGUUCCCUUCCCAGAUCAGAUUGGUGGGAUAUGCUUGGCUGGAUCGUGACCCUGGCCAGGUCCCAAUAAGUCAUCCCAAACCAAUUUUGUACACAUGGCACACACUAAUGCAGUAAAGGCCCCUGAAGUUGACUGACCUGGAGGGGAGGGGCCAACAUAAGCUGCUCCUGCUUGCACCUAAAUGACCAAUAGCAAACUGGAGAGGGCAGAAAUACCUAGCCAGUGCACUUCAGAAGAACCAUAACCAACAAGGAAAGGGCCUGGGACCUCCUCUAUACCCUGUACGGAAGAAACCAAAACAUGACAAGAGAAAGAAAUAAGAAAGAGUAUCCAGUUCCCAACCCUGAGAAUAUUGAUCCAAGAGAGUUAAAUACAAAAAAGACUGAGGGAAGCAAACAAUGCAAUAUCAGACACAGGAUCAGUGGACAUGAAGAGAUAUCUUCAGGACUUCAUAGACAAGCUCAAAAGUGAAAUAAUUAAUCAAGUAAAGCAAGAUAUAAGUGGAUUAAUUUUUUUGUUUUUUACUUUGAAGGUAGUAAAAUACAACAAAACAAGACAGAACAAAGCCAAUUUAGACAGUGUACUGACAUUGGUACAGAACUUCACAGCAGGUUAUGGGAUAACAGUAAUAGGUACCACAGUAUAUCUGUUAUCUUCACAAUAAUUGAUCUUUCAAUCAUGGAUAGCAAAAUAAAAUGAUAUGCAGAACAUUACAGAACUUAUCAAAACAGGAUAUUGAAUAGAGCAAUACCAUUAAUCAGAAUAAAGCAAAACAGUGGUAAAAAUAUUUACCUUCAAAGAGAUGGUAGAAGGAAAUCCCCCUUAUUUGCUAUAUUGCAUAUGGCCAGCCUCCUAAGAGAUGCCCAAAUCUCUGGCUCCCAUUUGCUAAUGGAGUGGGAGAAGAAGUGGGAUGUUUGAUUCAGCCUGUGUGCCAGUAGGCUCACUACCACUUAGAAGGAGGUGAGCUAUUUGCUUGGUUUCCCAGUGCCCUAAGAUCCAAUAUGGCAUGGAUCUCAGGAGAUGCUGGUGGUUCUCACCCUGGGGCAGCUGCAGCCUGCCACACCACAGCCCCUUACCAGGGAGGUAAGCUGAUUGCUUGGUUGCCCAGGGCCCUAAGUUCCAACAUGGCGUGGAUCUCAGGAGACACUGGUGGUUCUCCUCUUGGGAUGGCCACAGCCAUAUAAGUGGAUUAAUAAAAGAAAUGCUAACCACCUCUCAAGAAGAAACAGACAUAACAAUGGAGGAACACAAAAGAGGAAAGAAAUGUUUGAUGAAGAAUAUAAAGGAAACCUAGAAUACAUGAAUCAGAUUCAAAGAGAUUACCAGGAAAUUAAAAGCUUCAUUGAAAGCUGGCAAAACUACUUGAAAGAAACAAAAGACAGACUCUCAAAACUUGAACACAGGUUUGCAAUGUUAACCAUGAAAGGAAAUAUCUCUUAAAAAUAACAAGGAAACAGGCAGUAGCCAUACAAAGGCAAGAAGAUAACAAGAGGAUCUAUAACUUAAGAAUUAAAAAUGUGAAUGAAGAAGCAUGAGUAUGUAUAAAGGAGAUACAAAGGAUAUUCACAGAAAUAACUAAGGAAAACUUCCCAAGCAUAAGAAAAGGAAAUGAUAUUCAGAUGUAUGAGGCAUAUAGAACUCCAGCCUCCUACAACCAAAGCAGAGCUACACCCAGACAUAUAAUAAUCAAGAUCCCAGAAAUUCAAUAAAGAACAGAAUACUAAAAGCCAUCAGGGAAAAGAAACAGAUCACCUAUAAAGGAAAA